CAGCCGUAAACUAUGCUCGCUAGGUGUCAGGCAUGGCGCGACCGUGUCUGGUGCCGCAGGGAAGCCGUGAAGCGAGCCACCUGGGAAGUACGGCCGCAAGGCUGAAACUUAAGGAUUGGCGGGGGAGCACAACAACGGGUGGAGCCUGCGGUUUAAUUGGACUCAACGCCGGACAACUCACCGGGGGACGACAGCAAUAUGUAGGCCAGGCUGAAGACCUUGCCUGAAUCGCUGAGAGGUGGUGCAUGGCGUAGACGUCU
This 260-nucleotide ribosomal RNA is filed under the name uncultured archaeon. Its description in RNAcentral is "partial 16S ribosomal RNA". It matches the Rfam family "Archaeal small subunit ribosomal RNA", at positions 748 to 1009 of the family's 1478-position model. The record is from RNAcentral.